AUUUGCCCAAGAAUUGAUGUUUGGCAUAGUGCUUAGUCUUAAUUUGCCCAAGAAUUGAUGUUUGGCAUAGUGCUUAGUCUUUUGGAGUAAGUAGAUAAGGCGAUAAGCAGCACAAAACACAGACAGUUACAUAACUACAGUUUGAGAGCAUACUAAUAUUCAUGGUGUUCUCGUUGCAGUCGAGGAUGAGAAAGGGAACGGGAAGUCCUUUGGCAUCAACUACACCACCGACCCCGGCUUCUCACUCAGGUGGCGGAAAAGAUUGUUGUGAGCGGGAGGCUUCUCCGCUAUCUACUAUAGUGUCUGCUUCAUCAACUGAACCCGACUCUGCACAUAAAAUAUCCAUGACUUCACCCGAGGUCGAGAACAAGGAGGGCUGCUGCUGCUGCUGCUUGUGCUCCGGUGCCUGAACCAGCUGGGACAACAUCUAAUGUUGCAUGCGCUUCUGCUUCUCGCAAUGUGUCGACUUCAUGUUUGCCUGAAGCUGCAGGUGCUAAAGACCCAAAUAUAACAUCAACUGAUAAGAACCCAUAGAUCCUGUUAGACAUCCUUACUUACAUUCAUGCAAAAUACAGCAGUGGGGUGGCUAUUUGGAAUAUUAUGCCUCAUCUCAGCCUAGUUAAAGAGCACCAUCUCCCCACUUCUCAACCUGUUUGUACUUAUAAUCUUCUGUUAGG
This is a long non-coding RNA of Ipomoea nil (Japanese morning glory), 677 nucleotides long. RefSeq lists it as uncharacterized. The record is from RefSeq and is a predicted model, not a curated record. Lineage: Eukaryota; Viridiplantae; Streptophyta; Magnoliopsida; Solanales; Convolvulaceae. The transcript is spliced from 2 exons.